This 252-nucleotide ribosomal RNA is filed under the name uncultured bacterium. RNAcentral describes it as "partial 16S ribosomal RNA". It matches the Rfam family "Bacterial small subunit ribosomal RNA", at positions 28 to 274 of the family's 1533-position model. The record is from RNAcentral.
GACGAACGCUGGCGGCGUGCUUAACACAUGCAAGUCGAGCGGUAAGGCCCUUUCGGGGUACGACGAGCGGCGAACGGUGAGUAACACGUGGGUGGACCUGCCCUCAGCUCUGGGAUAAGCCCGGGAAACGUGGUCGUAAUACCGGAUAUGACUCCACUGACGCAUGUUGUGGGGGUAGGAAAGGCCUUGUGCGGACUGAGGAUGGGCCCGACGGCCUAUCAGCUUGUUGGUGGGGUGAUGGCCUACCAAGGC